This 433-nucleotide ribosomal RNA is filed under the name uncultured bacterium. Its description in RNAcentral is "partial 16S ribosomal RNA". It matches the Rfam family "Bacterial small subunit ribosomal RNA", at positions 29 to 507 of the family's 1533-position model. The record is from RNAcentral.
AGCGAACGCUGGCGGCAGGCCUAACACAUGCAAGUCGAACGAACUCUUCGGAGUUAGUGGCGGACGGGUGAGUAACACGUGGGAACGUGCCUUUUGGUUCGGAAUAACUCAGGGAAACUUGUGCUAAUACCGAAUGUGCCCUUCGGGGGAAAGAUUUAUCGCCAUUAGAGCGGCCCGCGUCUGAUUACCUAGUUGGGGAGGUAACGGCUCACCAAGGCGACGAUCAGUAGCUGGUCUGAGAGGAUGACCAGCCACACUGGGACUGAGACACGGCCCAGACUCCUACGGGGGGCAGCAGUGGGGAAUCUUGCGCAAUGGGCGAAAGCCUGACGCAGCCAUGCCGCGUGAAUGAUGAAGGUCUUAGGAUUGUAAAAUUCUUUCACCGGGGACGAUAAUGACGGUACCCGGAGAAGAAGCCCCGGCUAACUUCGUG